RNAcentral lists this ribosomal RNA (775 nucleotides) under uncultured Neocallimastigales. RNAcentral's name for it is "partial large subunit ribosomal RNA". It matches the Rfam family "Eukaryotic large subunit ribosomal RNA", at positions 20 to 627 of the family's 3401-position model. The record is from RNAcentral. Lineage: Eukaryota; Fungi; Neocallimastigomycota; Neocallimastigomycetes; Neocallimastigales.
UACUAGAGUAGCACUCGCAUAUCAAUAAGCGGAGGAAAAGAAACUAACAAGGAUUCCCCUAGUAACGGCGAGUGAAGCGGGAAGAGCUCCAAAUUUGAAAUCUUAAAGGGUUUCCCUUUACGAAUUGUAGUUUAAAGAAGUGUUUUCUGUUGAGGUUUUGGUAAAAGUUCUUUGGAAUAGGACAUCAUAGAGGGUGAGAAUCCCGUAUUUGACCUUUACUUUCAACUUUGUGAUACACUUUCAAAGAGUCGGAUUGUUUGGGAAUGCAGUCCAAAAUGGGUGGUAAAUUUCAUCUAAAGCUAAAUAUUGGCGAGAGACCGAUAGCGAACAAGUACCGUGAGGGAAAGAUGAAAAGAACUUUGAAAAGAGAGUUAAACAGUACGUGAAAUUGUCUAAAGGGAAGCGUUUGACACCAGUGUUGUUUUUCUGAAAAUCAAUUAAAGAACUGUUUAUGCUAAGCUGUUUAGACUUUAUCAGCUAUCUGUUUAGUUUUGAGCUUUUCUUUAAUGCACUUUUCAGUUAACAAGUCAACAUCAAUUUCUUUUGCUGUAAAAAAGCUUGAGGAAGGUGGCUUGAGAUUCGUCUUAAGUGUUUAUAGCCUCUUGCCUAUGCAGUCGGAGAGAUUGAGGUCUGCAGCGUAGAUCCUUCGGGGCUAAAUGCAUUUGUGCUAAGUUAUAGCAUUUUAUAGACAACUUGUUGACUAUGAUUUGUCUUGUAGCUUACUCGCUUAUGUUAUUUUACCUACGCUUAGGAUGUUGAACUCUAUCACACACAG